RNAcentral lists this transfer RNA (74 nucleotides) under Stefania coxi. Its description in RNAcentral is "tRNA-Leu". It matches the Rfam family "tRNA". From Rfam's summary of the family: Transfer RNA (tRNA) molecules are approximately 80 nucleotides in length. Lineage: Eukaryota; Metazoa; Chordata; Amphibia; Anura; Hemiphractidae. The record is from RNAcentral.
GUUAGCGUAGCAAAACCCGGUAUUGCAAAAGACCUAAACCCUUCCCAAUAGAGGUUCAACUCCUCUCGCUAACU